AAUCAUUGCAAAACACGUUGAGCCAUUUCACAUUGUCUACACGAAUUAACACAGCACUAAUCGAAUUAGAACACUUCAUGCGAGGUGAAUCAUUUCAAGUUUAGAUGAAUUGUUUCUCAUCUUGUCCAGUCACGUUACAGUACGUUAUGUUCAAUCAUUUCUACACACAAUGAAUCGCGUUUGUGUUUAUAAUGAAUCAAUUCUGUUUAUGUCCAUUCAUUUCACACGUGUAGUAUUUUUGGUGGUAACGGCCGCCCAUAGAUUUCGCUCCGAUGCAAACCACCGGUACAGUGUAACUGGGGCAUAGAAUACAUGUAGUUUUCACAUUCUGCUGUAAUGCUGUUUGUGUUUUUGAUUGCAGUAAUGCGAUUCAUGGAAGAAAAAUAUUUCUUAUGUACGUAGCGCGAAUGAGCCAUGACGGGAUGACUGAAUUGUCGAGACAAUAUAACUGUAAAUACGGUGAAUGUUAAACGGGGGAAUCCGUGCGGAAUGGCGUACGAACUACAAUACAAUACAAUACAAUACAAUACAAUACAAUACAAUACAAUACAAUACAAUACAAUACAAUACAAUACAAUACAAUACAACUUUAUUUGAACAAUACACAUGACAAUAUUACAACAUUCAAAUCCUGCAAUAGCAUGCCAAUCGCGGGAGGAAAUGAAUAUGUUCUGCUUAAAUAAUAUUAUACAACUGAUUUAUAUAGAGACUAAAGUUAAAUUAUUUACAGAACGAGAGUUUAGAUUACGUGUGCGAUUGGCUAAGGUAAAAUUUAAAUGACAAAUAUUAUACGUGACACAAGUAUAUUCUUUUUUGAAAGUAACUAGAAAGUUGCAUUUUAGAACUGUUGUAAAUUAGUAGAUUUAGUAAAAAUAUAUUAGUAAAACAGUUAUAUAUGCAUGUCAGUAAUGAUAUAAUCAAAAAAUAUAUAAGUAAUUAACUGGAACAUUUGAAUAACAGGAAAUACGAACGUUAAAGAAAUACAGGAACUUUUAGCAUUUUAGUAAAUAAGACGGAAUGUACGUACGUAUAAGGGGAGUUUGUGGGUUGAUUUGUGGUCAACCAAGCGAGGAUGUUUUCAUGUUUUGCAUAAUGUGCGCCACGCAUUGACCUUCCUCUGGGAAAAAGUUCCCAUAGCAUGAAAAGUAGGGGAGUGUAAAUAAGAGUUAGAUUGCCGAAGAAAGCAGAUCGCGAAAGAUUGUGUAAGAGAUUGUAAGAGUGUUUGUAUAAUCUACUUCGUACUUAGACACAGUUAUUGCAUGCUUGAUAUAUUUUAAAUAUAUGUGUACAGUUUAGUUCGGGUAUGCACCGUGUCUCUACGCUUAAUUUAAUUUUGAGCAUUUUUAUCUUGACUUCCGACUUGUGAAUCGAUUGAUUCUUUCCUACCAUUUGAGGCACGUUGCAUGCUUACUGACUAAAUUAAAUUACAUUUUUAUGAAUUAUAAAUUAAUGGUCUAUUUAUCAUCGUUGUAACGUGCAUGUAUAUAUUUGUAUAUUUUUGUACAAUUUAAAUAUUGACAAUAAUUAAUAUUGUAAAUAAUUGUAAUUCUGAUGCAGGACCCCACUGAAAAACACGUAAGUGAUGUGGGUAUCCUGGAUAAAUAUAAUUAUUAUUAUUAUUAUUAUUAUUAUUAUAACGAUAGCAGUGAUCAGUCAUAUGUAACGAAUGAUAGAUUAAUAAAUAAAAUUUGAGAAACCCGAAAGCAAACAGUCCCAUUCGAGAACCAGCGAAGGAAUAAAUCUCACGAGGAGAACUUAUAACACGAACGAAAAUGUUGAGACUUUAUAACCCUAACCUCAUCCUAAUCCUAACCAACCCAUUCCAUACUAAUUCCACAUCCGCACGAGCAUUCUUCCUUUCACAUUCACCUCUUGUUUUUCACCUGUGCAAACAAACUUAAUUUGAACUUCGCUUACCUAACGACUAACCUUGAACUCAUAUACUUGCAGUAUAUUCUCUAUUUUUAUAUAUAAAAAGAGUAAUCCAGCAGUGUUUACAAGUAUUUUCCGAGGGAUUUUGUAUGGGUCUGUUUUCUGAGAGUGCGGGACAAAUAUAUUAAAAUCG
RNAcentral lists this long non-coding RNA (2065 nucleotides) under Paramuricea clavata. The record is from RNAcentral. Lineage: Eukaryota; Metazoa; Cnidaria; Anthozoa; Malacalcyonacea; Plexauridae.